GCACCUCCCCUCAUUGGUCCAGUCGGGUUGUUUUAUAACCACACCUUCAGAUUGUAACGCUACUAAAGUUCUGUCUGGGCAGGCCAAUCAUAUUUCCUAAUCAUCAAACAAAGUAAACUGACAGACAUAUUCUAAAUAGUAUGAAUCGACAUUUUUUAAAAUGUCAUUCUGUACUAAUUACUGGGGCGUGCAGAGGCCUCGGUCUACAAACGGUGAAAGACCUGGCGAGAAGCAUAGAGCGACCAACCACAAUAAGUGACUGCGCGCAAACCACCCGCAGCACAGAUGUUGUCAGCCAGUCAUGUAUAGACUCAGCAUUUCACGAGGUGUCAUCCAUACUGGGAGGUGAUGGGCUCAACUGCCUCAUAAACAACACAGCUGAUCUGAAGACAGUGACACCUGACGACUUUUGAGAGUAAUACUGUUUCUACUCUUUUUGCCACCAAGGCAUUUCUGCCAUUGCUCCAGGCAGCUGCUGCACGGACCACUGUAAUGGGGAUCAAUAGGGCAGCUGUGAUAAACAUCUCUUCCAUACUGGGCUCCAUUAAGGCCAAUUGGGGAGACGGAGCAGCCUUCAAAAGCUAUGCUUACAGGACCUCAAAGGCUGCCUUGAACAUGGCGACAAGUUGUCUGGCCAUUGACUAGGAAUCUGAAGGGAUUCUGUGUAUAGCCCUUCACCCUGGCUGGGUGCGCACUGACGUAGGUGGCCCAUAUGUGGAUUUGAGUGCGGAGGAUCAUCUUUGCUGUCUCUGACAGAAAAGCAUCAUGGGGGAUUCUUCAACAACUCUGGAAACAAGCUACCAUGGUGAAGCUCAACUUUGAAACAGUAACUUGUGUAAUGUGCAGUUGUACUGCCGAAAAUUCACUAGGACAAAACACUGAGCAGAGAUCAUAGAAUACAACGCACAAUUGCAACAUCAUGCUGUUAGGUUGCUCUGCAAUCUCUGAUUUCUUUGUAUUUAGUUGGCGUGAGAGAGAAGCUGGAGACUUGACAUUUUAUAUUUGGGAUAAAAUAAAAAAAAUCUGAGUUGUUUGGGUUGUUGCACUUUCUAAGGUAAUCUCACUGUUUGCAUAGAACAACUAUAUACUGUAUAAUCAAUAUAUAGGAACAAAAAAGUCUUGCCA
Molecule: long non-coding RNA, 1125 nt
Organism: Oncorhynchus kisutch (coho salmon)
Lineage: Eukaryota; Metazoa; Chordata; Actinopteri; Salmoniformes; Salmonidae
Exons: 5
Source: RefSeq, a predicted model, not a curated record